RNAcentral lists this ribosomal RNA (497 nucleotides) under uncultured bacterium. RNAcentral's name for it is "partial 16S ribosomal RNA". It matches the Rfam family "Bacterial small subunit ribosomal RNA", at positions 28 to 507 of the family's 1533-position model. The record is from RNAcentral.
GAUGAACGCUGGCGGCGUGCCUAAUACAUGCAAGUCGAGCGAACAGACGAGGAGCUUGCUCCUCUGACGUUAGCAGCGGACGGGUGAGUAACACGUGGAUAACCUACUUAUAAGACUGGGAUAACUUCGGGAAACCGGAGCUAAUACCGGAUAAUAUAUUGAACCACAUGGUUCAAUAGUGAAAGACGGUUUUGCUGUCACUUAUAGAUGUAUCCGCGCCGCAUUAGUUAUUUGGUAAGUUAACGGCUUACCAAGGCAACGAUGCGUAGCCGCCCUGAGAGGGGGAUCGGCACCACUGGACCUGAGCCACGGUCCAGACUCCUACGGGAGGCAGCAGUAGGGAAUCUUCCGCAAUGGGCGAAAGCUUGCCGGAGCAACGCCGCGUGAGUGAUGAAGGUCUUCGGAUCUUAAAACUCUGUUAUUAGGGAAGAACAAAUGUGUAAGUAACUAUGCACGUCUUGACGGUACCUAAUCAGAAAGCCACGGCUAACUACGUG